Molecule: ribosomal RNA, 574 nt
Filed under: [Candida] sp. VL1_7
Lineage: Eukaryota; Fungi; Ascomycota; Saccharomycetes; Saccharomycetales
Description: eukaryotic LSU rRNA
Rfam family: Eukaryotic large subunit ribosomal RNA
Source: RNAcentral
AUUAAAGGGUAUGCCUUAGUACGGCGAGUGAAGCGGCAAGAGCUCAAAUUUGAAAUCUAGCACUUUCAGUGUUCGAGUUGUAAUUUGAAGAAGGUAUCUUUGGAGUUGGCCCCUGUCUAUGUUCCUUGGAACAGGACGUCACAGAGGGUGAGAAUCCCGUGCGAUGGGGAGACCAAUUCUUUGUAAAGUUCCUUCGAAGAGUCGAGUUGUUUGGGAAUGCAGCUCUAAGUGGGUGGUAAAUUCCAUCUAAAGCUAAAUAUUGGCGAGAGACCGAUAGCGAACAAGUACAGUGAUGGAAAGAUGAAAAGAACUUUGAAAAGAGAGUGAAAAAGUACGUGAAAUUGUUGAAAGGGAAGGGCUUUUGAUCAGACUUGGUGUUUAACGAUCUCUUCUCCUUGUGGGAGGGGCUCUUGUUUUAUACUGGGCCAGCAUCGGUUUGGAUGGCAGGAUAAUGACAUUGGAACGUGGCUUCAUUCGUGAAGUGUUAUAGCCUUUGUUGAUACUGCCUAUCUAGACCGAGGACUGCGUCUUUGACUAGGAUGCUGGCGUAAUGAUUAAAAGCCGCCCGUCUUGA